AGUAGUUUGCACAAACAGCGGAUGGAGAACUGAGAAAGGUGGCUGAAUCACACAGCAUAACAAAGCGGGGAAUAUGCUGGCCGGAGAAAGCAGGCAUUGGACAAAGAUGGUGCGGAAAGCUCUGAAGGUGAGGAUUCAGCGUGAAGGCGGCUGGGAUGAACAAGCCAGUGACAUCAGCAUAUGAUAUCAGCAUUUUCAUUGAGACAGCUUCUGAAAGCUCCUGCCUCCCAGCAGCAUUUGCUCAGAUUAGAAGUUCCUGAAGUUUGCCCACAUCUCUGAUGGUUGUUAUGAUACAGGUAAUCAUGUCAGAUCUGAAACUGGUGUCCUGGUAACUAGUUAACACAUCCAGUGAAACACAUGCAUGUGGUUAGAGGAACACGCAAGCAAAACCACUGCACUAUUUUCUCUUCUUAGAGUGCUUUAGAAUUGGUUAAAAAAAUAUUGCAGUUACCAAUGGUGCAAAACAGCAUCAAAAAAAAAAAAAACAAAAAAAAAUUCAAAAAACGCAAUGCCUUGAGAUUUCGUAUUUAACCACACUGGCAACUGAAACAUAAAAUUAGGAACUGCGGCAUCUCAGACCUUCCAUUAAGAGUUCCUGCAGCCCCUCCCUGCCCCCCACCUGCAGGGAGCAGUGACUAACAGGCCAGAGAGGUGGCUGCGCACACCAAUCUGUGGGCAGAAGGCUGCAGGGCUUGUGGCAGGGCUCUACUGGUGCCAAAAUGCUGGAGCUGAAUAGGUUACUUAGUUUCCUAUGAAUGUGAGACACGGCAGAAACUACUGGAUACAUACUACGAAGUGUUUGCCAGCAUUUUGUCUAUGAGCAAAAAUGAAGAGAAAAGGCAGAAAAAAAAAAGAAAACAACACUCUGCUGACACAUCAGAUGUUUAAAACUGCAUUGACAGUCAUCAUCCAAAGCUGUAGGUGAAGCAAUUAUUGUUGAUGGCUGAACAAACAAGGCUUCUCAUGUCCCACUGUCUCAAAUAACCUACUAAAUAUUUAAAUGAGGGUCAGGAAAAGUAUACAGGCAUCUCAGCUGUCUAUAGGAGAGGCUCGUGUUCUGGGUCAGAAAUCACUGUGGCUAGGAAGGAAUGCAAGGCAUGGCAUACCCUUGCGAUGCAAUCACCGAAUUGAAAAAAAUUCAUGGAGAAUGUCUAGCAUAAAUUACUGCUUCCACAACCGUUGGCCCAAUACUUUACUUACACUGGAAACCUUUUGCAAUUAGUUGAAAUUGAGCUGUCUGGAUGUAAUAUUUCAGGACGGACUUUAUCAGACUCGGUUUGUGAUUCGGUGACACUCAGUAAAGUUGCUUCAGCUACAGUCAUGGUGGAACCCCUCUGGGCUUUGCCAGCAUGGCAGUGAAGCCCACAGUUUGCAUUUGUAAUCCCACGCAUCUGCAAGACUAGAAAUGAAACCCACAUUGAACUACAUUUGUUAGACUCUCUCAACCCACUUCUGAAAGCUCCAUAUACAGGGGAACUUUAUGUAACUGAAAUUAUUUAGAAGAGUCAAACAAAUAUUUUUAACCUUCCUAUUUUCAAAUAUGUUAUUGUCUACACUUCAAGAUUUUAUUUUCAGGCUUUGGAGAUACGCACGUACUCUAUAAGGAAUAAUAAAAAAAAAAGACAUUGCUUCUCCAAGGAGUUCUUCACUUUUCUGGUGAAAUAAAUAUAAAUAAAUCCAGUCUGUUUGUUAUGGUUGGCCUGCAGUGGUAACCUUGGCUGGAUGAGACGCAUUAUGUCAACAUAGCACUGUUGACUUUCUUGUUGUACUUACACAUUCCAGCACUCUACCAAAAAUAAAGGAUAAAAAAAAAGGCCAGUAAGCAAUAUAUGCUUAUAUAUUGAAAAAUCUUUGCUGGACAGAACAAAAGAGACUCUGAGCUCUACCAGGCCCAUGGGGUCACAGAAGUUGGAGACAGCAGGCAUGACACCAGGCAUUCGUGAGGAGGAAAUCAGUUCAGCUACUCCCUCAGGAUGCCUGUGGGGCAGGAGGAGAUGGCAGCAGCAUUCCCACUGCUCUCUCAGAGGAAAACUGAUGAAGGAAGAGAAAUAGAUGAGUGAAGAUGUGCCUCUUACCUUUUUGCUUAUGGCAGGAGUUUUAAUCUCCAUCAUCGCCAGAUGGUGUGCAUAGUAUAUAGUAUAGAGCGACAAACUGAGAAAGACUUGUAGCCCUACGUUGAUUAUGCCUUUGGUCUUAAACCUAUCUGCUAUCACUAGAGCUUUUGUAUACCACAGCCUUGCCCUUUUUAAAAAGGGUUCUCCCCUGCCCCAACUUCAUUUUUUUAUUCAUCCCCAUGUGAGGAUAUUGGUGACUUAAGCCUGUAGCUGGUAGAGACAGAGGAAAUGAGAUGUCUUAUGCUGGUGAUCAGAGCAGUGGGAUUUCAGCAGUAGGAUGUUUCCUUCAGAGAGGAAGAAAAAUCUUCCAUGCAGCCACAGCAGAGCUGUAACUGUGGACUUACCAAACUAUCUUGAAAACACAAAUGCUCUCAUUGGGGACUGACUCCAAAAUCUGCCCAGGAAGCUGAGCACUUGGUGCCUCAGCAGCACUGAGGUGUCUUCCACCCUUGUUACAUUACUGGCACUUUGCAAGUGAGCUACUCCAAAGCUAUUUAAAAGUAAUUACAGGAAUGAUUGCGGUGUAAAUAUUCUCUCACUACAUCUGUGUCUAGAAAUGUCUGUCAAGCAUACCAAGAGCUGGGACAUAGCUCUGUUCUAACAGAAAGCCUCUUAGAAAAUAGUCUAUAGAAAAGAAUGCAUUUGAAGAAAAUGUGAGAUUCUAUAAAGGUUAACUGAAAUUAAGGAUAAAUUGAAAAGUUAUUCCAACUUAAUUAUAGAAGUGUCAUUUAUGGCUGCUUGUUUUUUUUUUUCUAUCCCUUUUUCCUGUGCCUCAAUUAAGAAGAAAAAGCAUUGAGAUUUCCUAAAGUUUGAGAAAAAACCUUUUUAGAUAAAGUGUUGUGAGUUUAAAAUGUUAAUUUUGCUGAGACAGUCUGGAAACAAAUAAGCCUAACCUCUAUGGGUCAAGUCUAAAUUAGUUCUUUUUGAUAAAGAGAAAUCUUAUUGAACAACAACACAUCCAGUAUGGACUAGAAGUCAAUUUUCAGCUGUAGGGAGCUAAGCUGAUUUAAGACUCCAGCAAACAUGUUUCACAUAAUUCAUAAGAGAAAUACAAUGGGAUAUUGUUGGAAUUGUCUGUCAGGGACCCUGCACAGCAGCUGAAGUUCCUGAGGAUGACUUCAUUGCACUAACAGUGCCAAGUCACACAUAGCACUCGUCUCCUAUGGUUAUUACAAAGUUGCUCAAAAGUUAAAAAAGUAAUAGAUUUAAACCUCAAGACAUUAAUCUAUACUGUGCAUAAUCCCCAUUGUCGGUACCAGUCCAAGCAUCAUGUAUAUUACAGUACAAGAGCAUUACUGAAAGAAUUCAUUUUAAGGAUAAAUCUCAAGAUUUCUCUUCACACCUCAGAAAUGGAUUUCUGAGUAAUCCAUUCCUCAGUCUUUGGAAGAGCCUGUCAUCUUACCCACAUGUUGUUUCAUUGUCUAGAAGGCUCCUUCAUUGAUCUAGUGACCCAUCUGGUGGAUGAGGGAAAGGCUGUUGAUGUGGUCUACCUAGAUUUCAGCAAAGCCUUUGACACUGUCUCCUACAGUAUUCUGCAGAAGCUGGCAGUCCGUGGCUUGGACAGAUACCCUCUUGGCUGGGUAAGGAACUGGCUGGAGGGCUGGGCCCAGAGAGUGGUGGUGAAUGGAGUUAAAUCCAGCUGGUGACCGGUCACGAGUGGUGUUCCCCAGGGGUCAGUGCUGAGGCCUGUCCUGUUUAAUAUCUUUAUUGAUGACCUGGAUGAGGGUAUUGAGUGUACCCUCAGUAAGUUUGCAGAUGACACCAAGCUGGCUGGAAGUGUUGAUCUGCCUGAGGGUAGCGAGGCCCUACAGAGGGAUCUGGAUAGGUUGGAUAGCUGGGCUGAAGCCAAUGGGAUGGGAUUCAACAAGACCAAAUGCCGGGUCCUGCACUUUGGCCACAAUAACCCCAGGCAACGCUACAGGCUUGGGGCAGAGUGGCUAGAAGACUGUGUAGAGGAAAUGGACCUGGGGGUGUUGAUUGAUGCUAGACUGAACAUGAGCCCGCAGUGUGCCCAGGUGGCCAAGAAGGCCAAUGGCAUCCUGGCUUGUAUCAGAAAUAGUGUGGCCAGCAGGAACAGGGAAGUAAUUAUCCCCCUGUACUCAGCACUGGUGAGGCCACACCUUGAGUACUGUGUCCAGUUUUGGGCCCCUCACUGUAAGAAAGACAUUGAGGCCCCGGAGCGUGUCCAGAGGAGGGCAACAAAGCUGGUGAGGGGUCUGGAGCAUAGGCCUUAUGAGGAGUGGCUGAAGGAGCUGGGAUUGUUCAGCCUGGAGAAGAGGAGGCUCAGGGGAGACCUUAUUGCUCUCUAUAACUACCUGAAGGGAGGUUGUAGUGAGCUGGGGGUCAGCCUCUUCUCUCGUGUGACUAGUGAUAGGACUAGAGGGAAUGGCUUCAGGCUGCGCCAGGGAAGAUUCAGGCUGGACGUUAGGAAAUACUGCUUCUCUGGAAGAGUGGUCAGGCACUGGAAUGGGCUGUCCAGAGAGGUGGUGGAGUCACCGAGCCUGGUGGUGUUCAAAGAGAGUUUGGAUGUUGUGUUGAGGGACAUGGUUUAGCGAGAACCAUUGGUGAAGGGCAAAUGGUUGGACUGGAUGAUCCUGUGGGUCUUUUCCAACCUUAGUGAUUCUAUGAUUAUGCAGAGCCUUAUCUCGUCAUGGUAUGCUUUGGACUUUGGUUGUAGUUCUUAGUAACCUCCAUGUCCUGAAGCUUAUGGGAAAUGUCUAUUCCAUGUCAAAUGAGCAGCCACAAACACUUGCAAAAUAAAACAUCUACAAAGCAAAAUAGUUGUUAGACCAUCCUACACAGGCAUAAUAACUCUAUAAUAAUAACCAUACACAUGAGAAAUUAUAAAAAAAAAAAUCAGAUAGGCAUUGAGUCUGUAUUUGUAACAGGAAGCAGGACACCUUUACAUCCCCCCAAAAUGGACUUCUCCACUCUUCUAGAUACUUUAUCUGUUUCUUCUCCAGCUGUACGUAUCUUCUUUGCACAUUUAAUAAAUUUUCUACUCCAGCCCUAUAGCCCACAAUAUUUUUUUUGCAUGCCGUCAACCUAAAUUUGGAUAAUCUUCCAUCCCCAACCCCAGCCAGCCAGAGUAUAUUGGUGUUUGAAUAUUAGACAUUGAACUGGCAUGUGAAAGCAACUCUUCUUAGAAACCUGACCUCCUUCGUUUUGGGGUGUGUAAGCCACAUCCUCUUCCCUUUUGUAAACGCUAACUAAUCCCAGAGUGGCUAACACAAUGUACAGUUUAUGAGAUUCACUGGAACCAAGGAUUUGGCACAAGAACUCAAACUGAGGGAUCCAGUAAAAACUUGGCCCUCAGCUAGUAACGUUCUGCUUGUUCUGGGCAUCUCAAAGGAAGAUCUGAACAAUUGCUGCAUGUAAUUAAUAAUUCCAUUGCUGUGUCCUGCCCCUUCCUCAGAAGGAAAAAAUAUCAUCAUUUCCUGGUAUAUCAUGGCAAGAAAACAUUUGCUAUUUAUGCUUUUUGUAAGUGAUGGACCUGGGAGAGAGGGAAGAGUGAAAUCACUGCCAAAUUUAAUUGGGAUUUUUAUUUUGUGGGGGUUUUUUUAUUACAUUUUGUUUUUGGCUGGGAGUCCUUUAAGCAGUUUCUUUUGAAAAAGCCUGGCCAAAAAGUAGCAAAUCUGUAAGUGGCAGGGUUCAUUAAUGACACACACUAGAAUCACUUCUUUCAGCCUUCUCCAAAACAGAGAAAGGAUGGAUGAAUGGAUGGAUGAUUCAUCUUUGAAAGGUUUGCAGUCUCAAGGUUUAAGGCAGACAAGUCUGUAGAUAUUGCUUCCCAUUGCAAUGUGACAAAUGAAUGAUUAUUCAUGCUGUUGACUUCUACCUGUGCCAACAGUUGACCACAAGAGUAACAACUGUGCACCAUUCUUGAUAGUAAAGUGAAAACAGUAAAGUCAGCAAUACAGCAAAAGACAGAAAGAAACUCCACGCAUCGCAGUGUUACACAAAUAUUCUACUGAAGUCAAACAAAAUUAAAAAGGCUUUAUGAAGUGCCCGUCAUGACCCUUGAGUAGUUUCUUGUAAAAAGAAAUACCUAUAUAUUCAUUAAGAUGUACUCUGAAAUUGCCUGCAUUGAUACUGAUGGAAAAUAAGCUAUUCUAGAAAAAUUGUAGUCCUUUGUUCCAUUUGUGAUAAUCAAUUAUAAUUAAAUAUACAUGAAUAUAAUGCUAUAACAUGAUGAAAAGCACAGCAAUGAUAGCAGGAUAGCAAAGUCCUAGGCUGUAGCAAGUGAGAACUUGCUCAAAUACAACAACCACAGAAACAAAUUAAAAAAAAAUUGCUUACCCUUAUAAGACCUCAGUUAAGCAGGGACCUCCUGCAAGAUACUACUGCCUCCACUGCCAACCAUUAAAUCAGGUCUGGGAAGGGGUAGAGCCAGGAUCCAGAUGUAUGCACCUGAGCUCCCCUGGGCUGGCCCUGCCUUCCCACCAGGUGCUCAAUCACUGGUUCAAGCCCUGACUUAGCAUUUCUGCUACAAUGAACAUGUUCCAAAAUAGGUAUAGGGGUGUGAUGUGAACAGUGCAGAAAGAAUUUCUCCCUGUUCCUUCCUUAAUUAACUUGUGAUGAGCUAGGCAAGCUGUGCACCAUAGGAGAACAAUUAGCAGAUGCUAGCUCUAUCAAAUCAAAGAAUUUGAGGCCACAAGACCUUUAAUAAAGCAUUCGGUGGCAGGGACUGACACAGUGAUCUUUCAGCCAGACUUUGCUGUUCCUGUCAGCAAUCUGUAGCUCCUCUAGUUUUGUGUCAGUCUCAAGAAUGAGUCAGGAAGAAAGAGUAAUAAAAAUUCUCCUCUGUAUUUUCUCCUGAAUGUCUUAAUGUUUCUUCAAGCUCUAGAAACAUAAAGUGAAAUUCAUUUUCUUCGCAAGCCUUUCCUUUCUGUGCUCUUGUAAUUAUUAUAUGAGUUCUCAACACAUCCUACGUCUUCUCUUGUCCCCACUUUCUGCACCUUGCUAUACUGAAAUUUAACUGCAGUGCAGAUUUCAUUACCAUACUCCUUAUUUUUCCACUCAGCAAUGCAAUUUCAGAAUUGACAUCCUUCUGCUACUGAAUUUGGUGCCUUUUUUUCCCCUCACAAAAAUAGGAAGAUAUGGGCCCUGAUUAUACCAUGUUCAUUUAUUCCGAUGUCUUCCUCAGUCUAUGAUUUCUGUUGCCCUUUCCAUUGCCAUAAUUUCUCAGCUGUGUGCUUUGUUUUCUUCUGUAUGUGCAUAUACAAGGCUAUCCAAAUACCCAUUCUCUUAUUCCUACUGCAAUAAAUCCCUUCUAAAAAUCCAGCUUCUCUGAGUAAAAAGGACUUUCAAGUCUAUAAAAAUUAAUUGGAUCAAAAUAACAGUGUAACUACUCAUUUACACUUAAAAUCCUCACACACUUCUCUUGUUCUUUCGUCCUCUGAGAAUUUUGCCCAAUUUGACUUCAGCGAAAUGCAAGCUUCAUAAAACGAGGAAAACAAAUAGCUGAAAUUUCAAGUUACUUUUUUUUUUUUUUUUGGAGAUCCGAAUCAAGACUGAAACACUCGACAUGUUCUGGCAAUUAGUUCUGCUCAGAGUUUAAGGUUGAGCACUGAGCCUAGGAGGAUGCCAUGCCUUUUGUCAGCUUGGAAAAUCUUGGCCUUUAUGUCCCAGUCAUUGCUAAAGAUACUGCUGAGAAUCAUCAGUUAGUGCUAUUACCAUUAAAUGCAGUGAGUCAGAGCAUUCCAGUUGGUUUCUUUUCUUUAAGGGAUGGAUUACAUUAAUUGUUAUACGAAUGAAAGAACUGAAAAACUUCCAAUUCUCUGCUCUGUGCUGCUAGAAUUGUGCAUGCUGUUUGAGACAAUCCAGGACUUGGGCAGAGGUGUGCUGGCUUUGGAAAUGAUUGCCUGAUUCCGUAAAAGAGAGACAAAAGGAGACAGAAAAUACCCUGCUCUGCCAACCAGAAACCAUAAUAGAGGGGAACUUUACGUGCAACAAUAAUAAUAGCAUGCAACUGCAUGGCACAAGUCAUAAUCAGAACACUUCCCCAGUGAUGAAAGACCCACCAGUUUCAUAUCGUUCAUCUGACAUUAAAAUAUAGUACUGCAGAAAGACGUGGUUAGUUUUGAGUACGCAAUGUAGUCAUUUCCUUGAAGAAACCAGUGGAUACUCAUAGACAUUUGCUGUGUUUUGUAACAAUGACAACUACCACAGGCAAUACAAUUUUAAAAAUAACUUUCAUAAAAGAAUUUUCAGUUCACUUCCUGAGAUCAUAAACUGUCAAAGUUACUCAGAAAAGGAGGCUUAAGGGCCUGAACACUUGGGUGUUAGUAAAUUUUUGGGUUCACAAACCCACACCAGCUUCUCUCAAGGUUCCUGGGGUUCAGAAAAAGCAGCUUUUCUCUCGGCUCAGCGGAGGUGUUCUCAGCACAGUGUAAGUGCUGCACCAGGCUGAGGGGAGCAGCGUCCUUCCCCCAGGCCCAGCUACACGCAGCUCCCAGCCAGAGGGAAGGACUGCCCCAGCAGAACGGUUACACCAGAAUUUACAACUAUUUAUUUGGAAAUGGGAACCUGGGGCCUUUCUGCUUUCAAAACCAGAGAAGUCUUCUCAAACCACAGUUAAAGGAGGAAAUGCUCUUUUCUCCAGAAGUUACGGUGUUCAGUCAAGCAGCAGUCCCAGCACUUGUGUGUCUGAAUAUUAUGGAGAUUCCCUAUUCAGCUGCUGCAGGAUGUUAACCCUCUUUCAUAUUCUCCUGUUGAAGCAGUCCCUCUUGCACUGAGCGUGUUCAAUAUUCAUGGACCUGGGGGAAGUGUGAAGGGAAGCCUCUGUAGGCCAAUGCCUUCCAGUCCUUGCUCCCGAAAGGACACUGGGCUGCUUUAUGGAUCUGACAACAAAGGGAAUUGCAUUUGCAUAGCAGGAUGUUUGGGCUGGAUGCCUUAGGUUUAUGGGUCAUUAUAUACUUUCUGGAGAAAAAAUAAAAUCAUUUCACACUUUAAAGCUCAGCAAAAGUACAGAAGUCCCAUUGAUGAAAUGAUUCAAAUCAAUUUAGUCAAGGUCUGGGAUAUUUGGAAAGCACAUUCCAAAAUGCGCUAGGUGGGCUAAAUUCCUUUAGCUUCUUGCUGCCUAAAUCAAAUUGAAAAUUUUAAACAACUGUGAAUGCUAUUAUUUUCAGCGAUGUUUUCAGAAAUACGGAUUUUCCAGAGAAACUCUGGCUAUUACAAGGAUUUUUUCAUUCUUAGUGUAACAGAUCUUCAGUAGAUAGCAGUACAUCUGCAUCCUCUUGGCUGCAGCCAUCGGCUCCCCUCUGCCCUCCCUCCUCAGCUCUCUGUGGUUCCUGCAGCUAUGAUGAGAUGCAGUCUUUCCUGACAAGUACUGUGGAGCUCCUUCAAAGAGGCCAGUUCUUGUCCCCCUUUGGGCUUGGGAUGCAAAUGUGGACUACAUUUAUUGCAGCUGUACAAAAAACUUCCUCCAGUUUUGCACCUGUGUAAGAGCCCACCAGCAAAAGGUACUGUGGGGUUUGUUGUAGUCCUUAUAAUUGAAUAUCUUUGCAUUUUUAGGGAAAUUUCACAGAGGGAAACAGCAAUGAGGCAGGUGGCCAAGAGCACAUAUGGCAGCACUGACACAAACAUAUGAAAAUUAUAUCCAAAACAAGAGGGAACGAGGUCCUGCUUCUUUACCAGAACAAACACCUCCCUGAAUUUCAGGGGCAGAGCAUUGUCGGAGUGAAGGAUGGCAGUUGCACAUGCGUGCCAUAAAGGUUUUGUGGAGCAUAAACAAACUGUGGGCCAUUAAGAGAAGCAGAUGGAGCCAAGUGCACCUUUGGCAGCCCAGCAAUCUGUGACAGCUCCCGGUGUGCAGAGUGCAGCAUCUUCCCUCGGGGAGCCGCUUGCUGCCCGCCACUGUGCUUUUUGCCUGUGUUCCUUUACUCAUCAUUGCCAUCAGAACCAAACUACAGCACAGAAAGGAACACAGCCACCGACCAGCCAACCAAAAAUCUCCCACUACAACCUUAAUAAAAUAUACGGGCUCCGAUGCUUCCCAUAAGGUACAACACCCGAAGGGCAAUAGCCAACCCUACUGUGAGCCAACCAUACUGUGGGGUAUGGACAUCACCUCACUCCUUGUGAUAUCUUGCAGAUAUCUUUGCAUUAUGUCAGUCACUUUUAGAGCAAGGAAGAAAAUGGUGUCACCAAUCAGGUGUGUCAGAGUGGGAUUGCUCCCUGGGAGAACACGCCUUGGGCUUUGGGCAGCCCGGCUUUACGCUCCCUAUGGGACAGAGAUCUCACCACCUCCCUUACACCACUCUGCAUUCACGCUGAAAAUGGUGUGGGGGAGUUUUUCACUGCUGCUCAGGCUUUUCCCGUCCAAAGUUAUGCCACUGCUAUUGGUGCCUCUGUCUCGCUGGCAGCCCCGCUGCGAUAGCGCAGUUGCAGUAGAAGCUUGAGGAUUUCUGUCCUGCCUUUGAGGCUCUUUGGGGAUCACUUCUAAUGACCUUUUUGUAAGAGCUCUUUCCCGAGACAGUGACCGUGUGCCUACAGAAACUAAAAGCAAACAGACCCUCGGUUAAAACCGCUCCUGCCGCUCCCCCGCUGACCAGGAGCGCUGUGCCCGAAGGCAAAGCGAUGCCCCUCCUGCAGCCGUGGCAGUGCCGCAGCGCCCGUCCGCAAUGAGCGCAACUCCGUCGGCACCGACGAGGCUGGGCGGGCCCCCGGGAGCUGCGGGGAGCGCGCUGAGCCCUGAGCACAGGACGGGAGGCUGAGGGGGGCCGUCGGAAGCAGCUAACCCCAAACCCACCGACGGUUCACGUUUCUAUCUGUUUGCUUUGGACGUUCGGUAGCCCUUCGUGAAUAGCAUCACUCCCCCGAUCUCGGUGCCUUUCAGAGAGCUAAGAAAGAAGGGACGGGGCUCGCACAAAGUUCAACGCAUGCAUUUUUAAGCACUCGGCCCGUUCUAGGAGCGCUGGCGGAGCACCGCAGCCCGUCCCGCCCUCGGAAUCACUGCGCUGUCGAAGGGGCGUAGGGCGCCAAGGCACCUCGGCAGCCGCCCCGGGUCCCUCCGCCUUUGUCCCAGCGCCGCCACCGCGGCCCCCUCCC
Molecule: long non-coding RNA, 11165 nt
Organism: Gallus gallus (chicken)
Lineage: Eukaryota; Metazoa; Chordata; Aves; Galliformes; Phasianidae
Source: Ensembl